GAUGAACGCUAGCGGCAGGCCUAAUACAUGCAAGUCGAACGGUGCCUUCGGGCAUAGUGGCGCACGGGUGCGUAACACGUAUGCAACCUACCUUACAUUGGGGGAUAGCCUUUCGAAAGGGAGAUUAAUACCGCAUAAGACAGUGGCAUGGCAUCAUGCAGCUGUUAAAGAUUUAUCGAUGUAAGCUGGGCAUGCGUCCAAUUAGUUAGUUGGUGAGGUAACGGCUCACCAAGACGAUGAUUGGUAGGGG
RNAcentral lists this ribosomal RNA (250 nucleotides) under uncultured bacterium. Its description in RNAcentral is "partial 16S ribosomal RNA". It matches the Rfam family "Bacterial small subunit ribosomal RNA", at positions 28 to 289 of the family's 1533-position model. The record is from RNAcentral.